UUUUUCAUCAAAGCUGUUACAGUGAGCUGUUACGGUGAGCUAGUGCAGUUCCUUUCUGAUUGCAGCAAUGGCGAACGCGUGGAGGAGGGAGAAGCCCUCUCACCUCUUCUCCCCGAGAACCCUAAUCUCCUUGCUCCUCUCCACGUCCUUGCUCCUAUUCCUCUUCUUCUUCUGCUCCUCCUCCAGAUCCACACCCCUCCGCGGCCGUGAGACCUUCGCCCUAUCCCCUGCCGGGAUCCGGCCCUUCGACUGCCACGCCUGCCCGCAGGCGUCGCCGGUAUUUGCCAGCCUCGUCGAGGGCGUCAAGCACCCAUUCCUGUAUUCUCUUUCUGACUUCGGAUCCCUCCCGGAGAAGCCACACAAGAACAUAGCCCGCAUGCUCAAGGGGAAGCCCUUUCGCCGUCCUGACAUUUCGGCGACGUUGCAAGAGUUUCUGGAGGGGAAGGAGAGGGAUGAGGGGUUGGUGGUGGACGUGGGGGCCAAUGUCGGGAUGGCGACCUUCGCGGCGGCUGCGAUGGGUUUCAGAGUGGUCGCUUUCGAGCCGGUGUUUGAGAAUCUGCAGAGGAUCUGCGACGGCAUGUUUUUGAAUCGGGCAGGGGAUCGGGUAACUCUAUAUGCUGCGGCUGCCUCCGAUCGGAUCGGGAACAUUACAUUCCACAAGUUGGUCGGCCGGCUUGACAACAGUGCAAUCUCUGCAACUGGAGCUAAGCUUGCAUUCAAAUCUAACCAAGAGGUUGCUGUGGAAGUGGCAACAGUGCCAUUGGAUGAGGUACUUCCUGAAGCAGAGCGGAUUCUGAUAAUCAAGAUUGAUGUUCAGGGGUGGGAGUACCAUGUCCUUAGAGGUGCCUCCAAGCUCUUGUCUAGAGGCAAAAGUGAAGCUCCUUACCUUAUAUAUGAGGAAGAUGAAAGGUUACUCCAGGCAAGCAACACGACCAUAGAUCAGAUCAGGAAGUUCCUUAGUAGUAUGGGUUAUCAUCAUUGCAGUCGGCAUGGUACCGAUGCACACUGCACAAAGGAUUAAAUUUUAGCAUUUCUGUUUGGAGAUCAUCAUGCUUGGGUGGGAUAUAGUCUCAUUGCAGGUACCAUGGAAAAUUAUGCAAUACCGAUGCAGACUAGAAAUCUGACUUGGACACACAGUGAAUUGCACGUCGACUUACCUGAUUGUGGGCUGGUGGUGCUCAAGAAUUGGGAGAUGCAGCAUGAAUUUCAAUUAUAUGGGAAUGCUUGCUGUUGAAGGCACAUAUGAUAAAAUGGAGGCACUUCUAAGCCAAAACAUUCAUCCUGUGGAUAUCUUGUUAAUGUUAGCUGCUGCCGAAGGUGACAAACUUAAAAUUGAGGAACUAAAGAGAGCAGGUGCUAACUAUAAUGUCAAAGAUGCAAAUGGAAGAACGGCUUUGGACCGAGCAUCUAGCAACGAGAUCAAGGAAUUAAUUUUAGGCUUCUCAAUACAGAAAGCAUGAGCUAGAACCUAUUCAAUCACAAUGCCGUUCUUCCAAAAUUCCCUUAGGUAUCCAUUUUAGUCAUUGUAGAAGUUAGUGAAACUGUACCUUUUUCACCAACCUCUAGCCCUUGGUAGUUAUGCUCAUUAUCAUUGUUUGAGCAGCAGCAAAAGAUUAA
RNA transcript from Zingiber officinale, 1617 nucleotides. RefSeq lists it as uncharacterized. The record is from RefSeq and is a predicted model, not a curated record. The transcript is spliced from 3 exons. Lineage: Eukaryota; Viridiplantae; Streptophyta; Magnoliopsida; Zingiberales; Zingiberaceae.